RNAcentral lists this ribosomal RNA (425 nucleotides) under uncultured bacterium. RNAcentral's name for it is "partial 16S ribosomal RNA". It matches the Rfam family "Bacterial small subunit ribosomal RNA", at positions 354 to 796 of the family's 1533-position model. The record is from RNAcentral.
GUGGGGAAUCUUGCGCAAUGGGCGAAAGCCUGACGCAGCCAUGCCGCGUGGAUGAUGAAGGUCUUAGGAUUGUAAAAUCCUUUCACCGGUGAAGAUAAUGACUGUAGCCGGAGAAGAAGCCCCGGCUAACUUCGUGCCAGCAGCCGCGGUAAUACGAAGGGGGCUAGCGUUGCUCGGAUUUACUGGGCGUAAAGGGCGCGUAGGCGGACAUUUAAGGCAGGGGUGAAAUCCCGGGGCUCAACCUCGGAACUGCCUUUGAUACUGGGUGUCUUGAGUAUGAGAGAGGUGUGUGGAACUCCGAGUGUAGAGGUGAAAUUCGUAGAUAUUCGGAAGAACACCAGUGGCGAAGGCGACACACUGGCUCAUUACUGACGCUGAGGCGCGAAAGCGUGGGGAGCAAACAGGAUUAGAAACCCCAGUAGUCC